GUGGGGAAUCUUGCGCAAUGGGCGAAAGCCUGACGCAGCCAUGCCGCGUGAAUGAUGAAGGUCUUAGGAUUGUAAAAUUCUUUCACCGGGGACGAUAAUGACGGUACCCGGAGAAGAAGCUCCGGCUAACUUCGUGCCAGCAGCCGCGGUAAUACGAAGGGGGCUAGCGUUGCUCGGAAUUACUGGGCGUAAAGGGCGCGUAGGCGGACAGCUUAGUCAGAGGUGAAAGCCCAGGGCUCAACCUUGGAAUUGCCUUUGAUACUGGCUGUCUUGAGUUUGGGAGAGGUGAGGGGAACUCCGAGUGUAGAGGUGAAAUUCGUAGAUAUUCGGAAGAACACCAGUGGCGAAGGCGACUCACUGGCCCAAUACUGACGCUGAGGCGCGAAAGCGUGGGGAGCAAACAGGAUUAGAAACCCGGGUAGUCC
This 425-nucleotide ribosomal RNA is filed under the name uncultured bacterium. RNAcentral describes it as "partial 16S ribosomal RNA". It matches the Rfam family "Bacterial small subunit ribosomal RNA", at positions 354 to 796 of the family's 1533-position model. The record is from RNAcentral.